Long non-coding RNA from Macaca fascicularis (crab-eating macaque), 1628 nucleotides. The record is from Ensembl. Lineage: Eukaryota; Metazoa; Chordata; Mammalia; Primates; Cercopithecidae.
UUCUCUGUUUUGCAGGUUAGGUAGAUGCCACUAUUAGCAUAGUGAAGGAUGAAUUAGACAAUAGAAACCCAGUUGGAAAGUAAUCAUCAUAGUCCAGGUAGGAGAGGAGGAAAGCCUGGAUUAAAAAACACCAACAACUGCUGGUGAUAGGAAUAAUGGGAGGAAGGAGGCUGAUCUGAGAGGAAUCUUGGAAAAAAAAAACAGACAGAAAUUGAUCAUCAAGUGAAUAUUGAUGGGGAAAAGACAGAAGAUAAAAGGGGAAAUCAAGGCAGCGUUGCUAUUUCUAGCAUGGGUCUUUGAGAAUUUAUAUUUAAGACUGUCUUGGUUGAUGAUGUGAUAAUAACAGAAAAUAACAACUCAAAGGAAAAAUAUAAUGUGUUAGGAGGAAUAAAAAUAAUAAAAAAAGAGUGUAUUGGCUCAUAACUAAAAAUUCCAAGGGUAGAAUGUGGCUGGGAUCUAGACAUCCAAAACAUGCCACCAUUUUUCUGACCUCUCCUCACCUCUUGGCUUUCUUUCCCUUUAUGCUGGAAUUAUUCUCAGGCUCUAUGUGAUGGUAUCAAGACAGACAGUGACUCCAGUCCAGAAUCUUCACAGCAACAAAUCUAGCAGGAAAAAGAGACUUUUGCACUCCUUCCUUCAAAAGUUUACUUAGGCCACCCGCUUAGAUCUGAACUCACCACUGUGGCCAGGGACAUCAUUCUCUGAGAGAACCCCAUGAAGGAGAGAAGGUGCUGUCUAGGGAAAAGCUGGAGUCCUGUUUCUAAGAGAAUGGAAAAUAAAUUUUGACUGAGCAAAACACUGCAACUCUCACUUAUAAUUUGCAAAACCACUAACUAAGGUAGUGAAUAUAGAAAGGAGAAUAGUUCAGGUGGGUGCAUGAAGAAAGGAGGAGCAAGAUGACAAGAAGGGUUUGUAUUUCUUGCUUUGCAUAUCACAAUAACUAUUAAUAAUUAUCACUAUAAUGAUUUAUAGUAACCAUUCGGAGCCUCAUUCUACUAAAAGCAGGCAACAGACAGUUUUGAGAAUGUGUAUUUGUAAGACAUGGCAUUUUUUGUAUUCUUCAAAAGAUUUUGAAGUACUCAGGGUGUGUACUUCUUUAUUAUCCAUUAUAAGUCAGACAAUGAUUUUCAGAUGCAUUAUAAUGAUGUGCACAUUUAACACAUUUAGGAGUGUAUGCAAAUGUGGGUGAAUAGGUCUAACACUUUUAUUACUUUAAUCCUUAUUUCAUUAUUUUUAUUUGUCCAAACGCUUGAAGAUUGUGCCAUAUAAUAGUUUUUCCUUUCAUUCCUUCUUUGUCAUUGUUCUGGAGAUUUCAUUUAGACAAUUUAUAUAGAAAAACACUGUCUCAGGGCCAGGCAUGGUGGCUCAUGCCUGUAAUCCCAGAACUUUGGGAGGCCAAGGUGGGAGGAUCACAAGAUCAGGAGGUCGAGACCAUCCUGGCUAACACAACAAAACCCUGUCUCGACUAAAAAAUACAAAACAUUAGCCAGGCGUGGUGUUGGGCGCCUGUAGUCCCAGCUACUCGGGAGGCUGAGGCAGGAGAAUGGCAUGAAUGAGCCGAGAUCAUGCCACUGCACUGCAGCCUGGGCAACAGAGCGAGACUCUGUCUCAAAAAAAAAAAAGAAAAA